GUAAACACUGUAUAUCUAAUGUUCCGGUUUACUUCGGUGCCUGGACAUGUAAGCUUACUUGUUCAUCUUACCAUAAAAUUAGGCAGUUUAUGUUUAUUAGCAUGUUAAGUAGAACACAUACUUCACAACUGUAUGUCUAACUGGUUUUACAAGGCAUCAAGCCCAUAUUAAGUUGCGUGUCUAGUUAAAUAUAAAAUGCGAGCUGGCGACUCAAUGCCUGCUUUUAAUAGAG
Molecule: non-coding RNA, 232 nt
Organism: Pelobates cultripes (western spadefoot toad)
Lineage: Eukaryota; Metazoa; Chordata; Amphibia; Anura; Pelobatidae
Source: the annotation of a GenBank genome assembly